Molecule: non-coding RNA, 341 nt
Organism: Ceratotherium simum simum (southern white rhinoceros)
Lineage: Eukaryota; Metazoa; Chordata; Mammalia; Perissodactyla; Rhinocerotidae
Source: RefSeq, a predicted model, not a curated record
GCUGGAUAUUUUUGAUUUCCUGUAAAUAUUCUUGAGCUUUGUUCUGGGAUGUGGUUAGGUUACUUUUAACAGUUUGAUAGUUUAAGGUCUUGGUUUUAAGAUUUAUUGCACAGGACCAGAGCCUUUAAUCUAUGCUAAUUAUCAUCUAGGGCUGACUAUUCCCUACUACUGAGCUAAGACUUUUCUGAAUGACAUACUUAAUACCCCAUGGAUAAUGAAUGAGGUUUCCACUAUUCCCGGCCCUCUGUGGCCAUGAAGUACUAAUUUCCUCUAAUCCUUUUGAGUGGUUCUUUCUCUGGCCUGGGGUAGUUUCCUCAGGCAUGUGCUGAUCAAUACUCUGC